Molecule: long non-coding RNA, 1612 nt
Filed under: Homo sapiens (human)
Lineage: Eukaryota; Metazoa; Chordata; Mammalia; Primates; Hominidae
Description: HSALNT0300453
Source: RNAcentral
CCAGCCCCGCGUGCAGCUCGCACCCCUUCCCACGCCUGUUCGGGGGAGAGCCCCGGGCCUGGAGUGGGAAGCCUGGCUCCAGCUCUGGUUACCUGCAGUGACUCCCCAGGCCGUUUAGGCGAGUCCAUUGGGCCGCCUCUGCCUCGGUUUCCCCACCUAACCACGGAAGGUGCUCCUCCCUUCCAGGCAUCUGUGGUCUUCGAGCUCCACGCGGGAGAGGCGCCGGUCUGGCACCUCCUGCCCAGGGUCGGCGCCUCCUGGCUCUCGGGGAGGGGGGCAUCCUCCAUCCCCUGCACCUGCCUCGAGAGGAACCAGGGACAGAGCACCCCCACCCCCACCAGGAGCUCCGGAAAAACGGCUUCAGAAGAGCAAAUAUACACACACACCCACCUCCCGCCCCAAACAUCCCCGAAGAAAGCGUCUCUAGGGGAGAGCUUGAAUCCCUCCUUCCACUCCUCCUCCACGGAAAACAGAGUGAACUCCUGCUACAGAGGCCGCCAGAGCAACAUGCAAGACCAGCUUUGAGGGGAGCGGGCACAGGGCCUUGCAGGGAAGGUGGGCCGAGCCCAGACCCCUCAUUCUUACUUGGCUCUGAAGGCGGAAAGGCAAAGCUAGACCUCGAGGAAGUUCCCCUCCCUGUGGGCCCUACAGUGAAGAUUACAUGAAGGCAUGUGGGCGGUGGACCAGAGUGCACCGACUGAUGAAGGCGGCCCGGUACCCGCGGGUGCCAUGCCUCCUUCUUAGCCAAGGCCACUCUAGCUCCCCGUGAAGUAUCCAGGUAGAAGGCUGGUGGGGUUACAGGUGAGAAGCCGUCGGUGGGGUCCAGGAGCCAGGCCUGGGGAAGCACACGUCACUUCCACCCACAUCCAUGGGCCAGAAGUAGUCGCACAGUCCCACCAGGAUGCAAGGGGCUCUGGCAGCUGUGGUCUUCAUGAGUGUUUCGGAAGUAAACAAAGCCGGUUUGAUGAACACGUAGAAACAUCCCUGCCACAGAAACUGAGCAGAUUUCUCCCAAGCACACACAGGGCAAAGGGGCAAAGUCUGUCCACAGACUCACAGGAAGGGAGGUGCAUGGCAGACACAGGCAGGAGGUGGGGUUGGGGUGGAAAAGUUCAGGGAGGGCUCAAAAGCAGACCAAGGCCUGUUUCUGAAACCCAGCCCACUCACUGGUUCCUCCACACUUGGCCCAUGCUGUUCCUCUCCCAUGUGACUUUUCCAUCUUCCCCCUCCAACCUGUCACCCAUCCAUCCUUCAAAACUUAGGUCAGUUAGCUCUCACCUAGCCCUCAGCAGCUUAGCCCGCAGAUGCUUCCUCUGUUUCUGAACUUCUAGAGAAACACACUUAACCGCAGACCUCUUAUUCCAGGAGUGUAUCUCUCUCAGAUGAGAUACAAGUUGGUCCCUUCCCUUGCGUCCCUCCUGUUCCUUCAAGAGGAGGACUGUCUACCCACCCCGAAGCUUCAUGGAGAGAGAGCACACCGUCGUUAUUCAAUAUGUAGUUUUGAAUUUAACUAGAGCAAAGAAGAAAGCAAAUUCAGGUGGAAGGAAGAAGAAAAGGGAAAAGGGCUGUCCCCAUCCUUCUAAGGAGAUGGUGCAGUGGCUCACCUUUGGGA